RNAcentral lists this ribosomal RNA (520 nucleotides) under uncultured Glomus. RNAcentral's name for it is "SSU rRNA". It matches the Rfam family "Eukaryotic small subunit ribosomal RNA", at positions 569 to 1091 of the family's 1831-position model. The record is from RNAcentral. Lineage: Eukaryota; Fungi; Glomeromycota; Glomeromycetes; Glomerales; Glomeraceae.
AGCAGCCGCGGUAAUUCCAGCUCCAAUAGCGUAUAUUAAAGUUGUUGCAGUUAAAAAGCUCGUAGUUGAAUUUCGAGACCGGCUUACUGGUCGUGCUAUUGUACGUACUGGUAUAAUCGGUUUCUCCUUUCUGACGAACUAUAAUGCCAUUAAUUUGGUGUUUUAGGGAAUCAGGACUGUUACUUUGAAAAAAUUAGAGUGUUUAAAGCAGGCUCACGCUUGAAUACAUUAGCAUGGAAUAACGGAAUAGGACGUUUGAUUCUAUUUUGUUGGUUUCUAGGAUCGACGUAAUGAUUAAUAGGGAUAGUUGGGGGCAUUAGUAUUCAAUUGUCAGAGGUGAAAUUCUUGGAUUUAUUGAAGACUAACUACUGCGAAAGCAUUUGCCAAGGAUGUUUUCAUUAAUCAAGAACGAAAGUUAGGGGAUCGAAGACGAUCAGAUACCGUCGUAGUCUUAACCAUAAACUAUGCCGACUAGGGAUCGGAUGAUGUUAAUUUUUAAUGUACUCAUUCGGCGCCUUAC